Molecule: small nuclear RNA, 26 nt
Filed under: Arabidopsis thaliana (thale cress)
Lineage: Eukaryota; Viridiplantae; Streptophyta; Magnoliopsida; Brassicales; Brassicaceae
Description: snRNA_16583
Source: RNAcentral
CUUUGCAGCUCAAUGGUGGAAGCAGA